Molecule: ribosomal RNA, 1028 nt
Filed under: Kitasatospora sp. MAA19
Lineage: Bacteria; Bacillati; Actinomycetota; Actinomycetes; Kitasatosporales; Streptomycetaceae
Also listed under: 1 other name
Description: partial 23S ribosomal RNA
Rfam family: Bacterial large subunit ribosomal RNA
Source: RNAcentral
GGCGAAGCUGAGAACUUAAGCGCCAGUAAACGGCGGUGGUAACUAUAACCAUCCUAAGGUAGCGAAAUUCCUUGUCGGGUAAGUUCCGACCUGCACGAAUGGCGUAACGACUUCUCGACUGUCUCAACCAUAGGCCCGGUGAAAUUGCAUUACGAGUAAAGAUGCUCGUUUCGCGCAGCAGGACGGAAAGACCCCGGGACCUUUACUAUAGCUUGAUAUUGGUGUUCGGUUCGGCUUGUGUAGGAUAGGUGGGAGACUUUGAAGCCGUGACGCCAGUCAUGGUGGAGUCGUCGUUGAAAUACCACUCUGGUCGUGCUGGAUGUCUAACCUGGGUCCGUGAUCCGGAUCAGGGACAGUGUCUGGUGGGUAGUUUAACUGGGGCGGUUGCCUCCUAAAGGGUAACGGAGGCGCCCAAAGGUUCCCUCAGCCUGGUUGGCAAUCAGGUGUUGAGUGUAAGUGCACAAGGGAGCUUGACUGUGAGACUGACGGGUCGAGCAGGUACGAAAGUAGGGACUAGUGAUCCGGCGGUGGCUUGUGGAAGCGCCGUCGCUCAACGGAUAAAAGGUACCCCGGGGAUAACAGGCUGAUCUUCCCCAAGAGUCCAUAUCGACGGGAUGGUUUGGCACCUCGAUGUCGGCUCGUCGCAUCCUGGGGCUGGAGUAGGUCCCAAGGGUUGGGCUGUUCGCCCAUUAAAGCGGUACGCGAGCUGGGUUUAGAACGUCGUGAGACAGUUCGGUCCCUAUCCGCUGUGCGCGUAGGAGUGUUGAGAAGGGCUGUCCCUAGUACGAGAGGACCGGGACGGACGAACCUCUGGUGUGCCAGUUGUCCUGCCAAGGGCAUGGCUGGUUGGCUACGUUCGGGAGGGAUAACCGCUGAAAGCAUCUAAGCGGGAAGCCUGCUUCGAGAUGAGCACUCCCACCUCCUUGAGAGGGUAAGGCUCCCAGUAGACGACUGGGUUGAUAGGCCGGAUAUGGAAGCCCUGUGAGGGGUGGAGUUGACCGGUACUAAUAGGCCGAGGGCUUGUCCUC